AUGUGCUUCUCCCUCCCUUGCCCCGAAGACCCCUUCAACGCACGCCACGGCAAGAAGCGCAAGACCAAAGACGCCGCCGACACCAAUGACGACCACAAGAAGAAAAGCAAGGGUUCCAAGAAGCAGGAGCGGGCCGGCGCGGGAGACUCCUUCACCGGCGCGGCGGCGCUAGGGGCGGUGGCGGCGAGGAGGGCGUGCCACGAGUGGGUGGUGGACCACUACAGCAACCCGCGCAACGUGGGGGCGUUCGACAAGGACAACGCCGACGUCGGCACCGGCCUCGUCUGCCCGCCCGCCUGCGAUGACGUCAUGAAGAUACAGAUCCGCGUCGACCAGGCCUCCGGUAGGAUCGUCGACGCCUGCUUCAAGACCUUCGGCUGUGGCUCCACCAUCGCAUCCUCCUCCGUUGAUGAUGUUUCGACCAUGAAGAUGAUCCUGCUGAAGUGCAUGUGGGGCAGGAUCAUCAAGCUCUCGUGCAUGCAGCGAGGAGCUGCUCUUCGCCUCGCCUCGCACAAGCGAUGUCGUCAGGUUGCAAGCAAAUAUUCGUGUCUACUCUUUCUCUAG
Molecule: ribosomal RNA, 564 nt
Filed under: Triticum aestivum (bread wheat)
Lineage: Eukaryota; Viridiplantae; Streptophyta; Magnoliopsida; Poales; Poaceae
Description: partial small subunit ribosomal RNA
Source: RNAcentral